Molecule: ribosomal RNA, 440 nt
Filed under: uncultured bacterium
Lineage: Bacteria
Description: partial 16S ribosomal RNA
Rfam family: Bacterial small subunit ribosomal RNA
Source: RNAcentral
CCUACGGGCGGCAGCAGUAGGGAAUAUUGCUCAAUGGGGGAAACCCUGAAGCAGCAACGCCGCGUGGAGGAUGAAGGUUUUCGGAUUGUAAACUCCUUUUGUUAGAGAAGAUAAUUACGGUAUCUAACGAAUAAGCACCGGCUAACUCCGUUCCAGCAGCCGCGGUAAUACGGAGGGUGCAAGCGUUACUAGGAAUCACUGGGCGUAAAGAGGGCGUAGGCGGGAUAGCAAGUCAGAUGUGAAAUCCUAUGGCUUAACCAUAGAACUGCAUUUGAAACUGUUAUUCUAGAGUAUGGGAGAGGUAGGUGGAAUUCUUGGUGUAGGGGUAAAAUCCGUAGAGAUCAAGAGGAAUACUCAUUGCGAAGGCGACCUGCUAGAACAUAACUGACGCUGAUGCGCGAAAGCGUGGGGAGCAAACAGGAUUAGAUACCCUUGUAGUC